AAAAGAGUUUCCCUUAAUGAAAAAGCGAGCCGACGUAGAAUGAAGGUCAAAAGAAGAUGUGAAGAUAAUGAUAGAAAAUGUUGGUAGUCGCUUCGGAUAUGUCUUCUGGCGCCGCUACUCCCUGAUGCCAUUGGUGUCACCGGAUUACAAGGAAUGUUAAAGUUACGAUCGAUUUUCACUAAAUUCCGGUCUGCUUGUACGCCGCAGAAGUCGGGACGCCUUCUAUUUGUCACCCAGUCCCGUUUGCCCAGUCCCUUCCUUUUUUGUCGAUUGAACGCAUUUUCGGCAUCUUCCUUCUCGAUCCCCCACACAGCAGAAAACGAGGAGAGGGUAACUGAUGUGGCAACAUCCCUCCCUUUCCUCGCAGCGGAAAAAACAAACAAAAAAUACCAAGGCAUUCAAACAAACCAGCAGACCUUCGCAUUGGCGUUAACAGUUUUGCAAGCAAAAAAAAAGAGAAGCUUCCUGUACAUAGUCUUGGAUCGUAUACAGCAUCUUCGCAUUUACUGGCUAAGUAUAUCCUUCUUGGCACAUAUUUCCUUGUAGUAGUAUAACAACGGUCUUCUGCCUUACUAAGUAUAACUAUUUAUGUGUGUAUGAUACGAAAAGAAUUUGUAAGAUAUAUAUUACUGAUCAUUAAACAACCUGAGGCCUAUAAAUGAAGGCUAAACGUGUUGAAAGUUUUAAUGGCAUCCUUAGUGCAUAGAUUUGUAGCAGAAAAUCAAAAGCUAUAGUUCAAUAUACCGGAUUGAGUGAGAGGAUGCGUUCUGAUACCUAGUAUCGUCAUAGUUAUAUUGAAGACACCUACAAAGAGUAGAAAAAUUGUAGUGACUGUAUUGCUUUCAUCAUGUGACAAGGUAAGUUAAUCCACGAACCACGAAAUAGAUGUUAUGGAACUCGUUUCAGUACCUACCCCUACUAGCAAGAGUAGAUGAAAACACUGGCUGUGAAUGAAAAAACUGAAGUCUUAGUUUAAAUAAUCCUGAUAACACAAACAUGUCUGCAGCACACGUAUUUUGGUCAUUCCACCACAGCUCCGAACGAAAUGCCCUCUCACCUGAAACCUGUCUGUUUUACGAAUUAAGAUAAUGCUUGAAAUUGACUGAUACACGAGUCAGCCGGUUCUGAGGUUUCGGGUUUAUUAAUCACAAUUUCUUGCCUAUGAGGUAACAAAUUAUUGCAAUAUAACAGCAUAUAAUAGUAGUAUAUUGUAGUUGAUACAGCUUUUUUCUUUGACUGACACAAUUUCCGUUUCGUAGAUAGACCCAUAGAUUUUGUAUUACGACAAAGAGGGAAAAAAGAGGCUUAAUGUCGGGGCACAAUGUGGUUGCUUCAAAGGUAAACAACAAUUGAGCAGAACUUUCGUCCCUGCUCCGCUCUUGGGCUCUCAGCAGCUCAGCCGGUGAAUCCAGGUUUCCCCGGUGAAAAGUCCACAAAGAGGGAUGAAGAUUUUCUCCUCGAUUAGAACAUAACCCUUUAAGGGUGGUACUCCACUGAAGCGUACUUGCCUCCAUGCGUGUACUGAAAGGAGUUCCUUUCGUGUUCCAUCCCCGAGGUUCCCUCCAAGAGCCUUUUCCCAUUGGUUCGCCUCAUCGCGGCCAGAAUCUCGCUUACGUACAACUAGGCCCUACAGCCACCUCGCUAAGCAACCGACCAGGCCACCAAAGAGGCAGUCGGUGAGCCCUGAAAUUGCAGCAACAGGUACGCGUCUUCACCAGCGAAGAAAAGACUUCUCGUUUUGGCUUAUCAUCUUAGAAGGACAUCAUAACAGAUCACCGCCGCCAGGAACUCGAUCAGCCCGAUCGGAUUUUACGUCAGUUCAUUGGUAAACUUCCGAGCUUGGACGAAAUGACGGCAUUAGACCUGUGAUGUACGUGAGCUAAGCGAUGCUGGUUUCUUCCAUAAGCCAACAACCGUUACUGAGCCUCGAACGCACGCUCAUUUUCACAUGAUCAGACAACGAAAAUAUCUGUUAUUCAGUCUCUGUCAAUCUUACUAUAAAUUUGAUAUAUUUAUCGAGGA
This 2022-nucleotide long non-coding RNA is filed under the name Varroa destructor (honeybee mite). RNAcentral describes it as "uncharacterized LOC111255460, transcript variant X1". The record is from RNAcentral. Lineage: Eukaryota; Metazoa; Arthropoda; Arachnida; Mesostigmata; Varroidae.